CCAGGAGCCAUUUAGAAAACUUCUAGUGGAAAACGUGACUACUAAGAAGAAAAUAAGUCUGUGCUGAGGAGGGGAAUUACUUUGCAAGUGAGUCUAUUUGGGGAAAGAGAAGAGGAGUUUGCUGCCUAUAAAAUGAGUGUCUCUGAUGACCAUGACAUGAAGGCUAAGAGUAUGGAUCAUGGUGGAGAGUGGAGGUUGAAAUCAGGACCG
Esox lucius (northern pike) is the source of this 210-nucleotide long non-coding RNA. RefSeq lists it as uncharacterized. The transcript has 3 exons. NCBI's taxonomy places the organism in Eukaryota, Metazoa, Chordata, Actinopteri, Esociformes, Esocidae. The record is from RefSeq and is a predicted model, not a curated record.